RNAcentral lists this long non-coding RNA (2796 nucleotides) under Mus caroli (Ryukyu mouse). Its description in RNAcentral is "lncRNA (MGP_CAROLIEiJ_G0013616.1)". The stretch from base 275 to 405 matches the Rfam family "Small nucleolar RNA SNORA71". The record is from RNAcentral. Lineage: Eukaryota; Metazoa; Chordata; Mammalia; Rodentia; Muridae.
AACUUGUCUUUUUUCAUUCAUUGUCUUAGUAAGAGACCACUGAAGUAAUGGUUCUCAAAUUGUGGUCUCUGAAGCAACACUACCACCAUCCCUUAGAGUGUGUGAGAGUGGUCCUGCCUGAGGCAGCAGUAUUUAGCAGCUCUCCAGGGUAUUCAUGGUUGAGAAGAUUGGAGAGUUGGGAAGCUACCUCUGUUACAGGCUGUAAAUAUGGUCACUUGUCCCAGUUUGGCCCUUUCCUAAGCUGCCCAUCCAUCCAUUGUGGCUUCCCUUCUGCCCCUGUAUUCGAAAGUGAUUGUGGGCUGCUGGUGCCCUGGUCAUUGAUACUGCAGGGAGAGGAUGCCGAAAGCCUUUCCCCGUGUUUGGAGGAUCACACUUGUCCUUGUCAAACCCUGGUGCUUUCGAACAAAUCUUCCUUCUCACAGCCUAGUGGUCUCUCAGUUGCAGAUACCAGGCUCACUUAGAGUCCUCUACCAGUGCUGGGCAGUGUCCUAAGAGGACAUUAUUCUGGCUCAGUUUUGCAAAUAUCCCAUGAGCCCCAGUUACAUUCUCCUUCCAUGGCUGUGGAUUCGAGGCCUGCAGACAGACAUCUGUCUGGUAGAUGGGUGGCAUGUUCCCACAUGCAGUGUCAGGAGAAGAGUAAACUUGGCUAACAGGGAUGCUGGUCCCUGAACCUGUCUAGCUCUGACCUGUUAUUACCAGCUUCCAGUUAGCUAACAGUGCCCGAAGCUAGAAGAUACGUGAUGAUGGGUGGAGAUAAGAAAGCAUCAUGUUCCCCGUCCCCUUUAAUUUUCUAGAUGUUUGUGGACACCAGAGGGCCAAAGAAGACAAAGUGAAACUGGAGACACCGCCCCCCUUGGCAUCAUGAAACUGCCGAUUUUACUGGCUCAUGCAUGGGAGACACCAGCAUACAAAGUCUUGACACCAACACCUCAGAGGGCUGUGUUCUGUCCCCGUGACCAUCAGCCAGUGCCUGGAAAGACUAGUGACAAGAACUUGUUGCCAACUUCCUCUUACCUCCCUAACAGUUGUGCAUGCAAUAAACCCCAUAGGUUAAUUCAGUCUGCCUUUUAAAUCUGUGUCAAGCCAUGAACUCAGCUGGGUGUGGAAAAGGAGACUAGCUCCUGACACGCCUGUGACUUUCCUGUUCUUGAUGCCCCCUGAGGCUUGGGCUUCAGGGUGUUGGGAGUGGACAAGUAGGGCUGGUAGCCUCAGAUUUUAGGGCUUGUGAGAGUUGAGAUAGCUGAACAGGCAAGGUCAGAACUUGGGGAAGGUGCCUGUGUCAGUAAAAAAGGCUGGGGUGUCACAGUCCUAGGAAGUGACGUAUCAUUGCUGAGAACUAGGGAUGUGAAUGGGUAAAUGGACUGGAAUAUAAAAUGUAGAGCAUUUUCCUGACAGGACAGGUGACUGUAGACAGGAACUAGGGUAUGCUUAGGGACUGGCUUUGGAGGACCUUAAGGAACAGAAAGAAGUACUGUGGGUGGGAUGUCAGGUGGGGAGAAAGAAGAAACCCCCUUGAGUAACUUGGAUACCAAUAGGGCCAAAGAGAAACUGGUAAAGAGGGUGUAAUUACUGAUGGGUUUAUAACUAGGACUUUUCUAUUCGAAGUGAAGGACCUGUGGAACGCUUGGUAAGGGUGCUUACUAAGCUUAGUUCCCAGAACACAAACAGGUAAAUGGUACAUUUUAAAAACUAACACAUUUUUCUUGUCUGAGAAUUUGUAAAUUUUGAUUUUUAAGUCUGUGUAGGGAGGUCUGCAGUUCACAGAAGGCAUAUGAUCACUGGACUGGGUGUUACAGGUAGCCUUGAGCCUCCCGACAUGAAUGCUGGGGACUGAACCUGACAGAAUUCAAGGACCAUCUCUAGGCCAGUGAAGAGCUUGAUAGCAGGCUGUAGGUGUGGACAGCUAUGGUGCCCCUGGACUUCUGGGAACACAAAAGCUAGGGGUUGGUUUGUAGGGGGUUUGAGACAGGGUUUCUCUGUAGCCUUGGCUGUCCUGGAACUCUGUAGACCAGGCUGGCCUCGAACUCAGAAAUCCACCUGCCUCUGCCUCCCGAGUGCUGGGCAUGCGCCACCACUGCCCGGCCUAGUUUUCUAUUUCAGAGAAAGAUUUUUGGAGUUAUUCUGAGUGGGGUGGUUAUUCUUAGCUAAUACCUUUCUGAGAAGGUAUUAAUUAGCUAAGAUUUGUCUUGAUACUUUUGCAGUGGUUUUUAAGCAUUCUAGAUAUCUGAAAUUUAAGCUAGAGAUGGUUCUAGAAAAGUUCUUGAAUUUUUAUGUGACGACUUCUAAUGUUACUGGGCUUCAUGAUGGACGUUUACCAAGACUGGGAUUGACAGUCAUUUAUUUUUAGCUUUUGGGCAUUCCCAUUAGCAUUGGUUACUAUACAAAUUUAUUUGAGUCUUGAAUGAUUAAGGAAGAGAAUGGAGCCCUCUACUGUUGGUUGGGAAGAAAGUUAACAUUGGUACUGAAAGAUCCUGACAGAAUGUAAAAGGUCACAGAAGCCCUGACAUUGGCAAAAUAGAUUUCAUUGUUAGUAGAAGUAGCUUCACUGAUUUAGAAAAACAGAGGUGCCCAAUGUUCUGACCGUUCCUUGAACCCAGGUGUGUGCCCUCCCAUACUCAUUUUACAUUGUUUAGAUCUGGAAAUCCCCUACUCCCCUCUUCUCCUUCCCGCCCUGAGGACCUAUAAAAACUGGGACCCCUUUCCCCUCGUGGUCAACUCCUCUACCCCUGCGUGGGAUACGAGUCGUCCCCAGAGCUUUGGCUUUCCCCAAAUAAAGCCUCAUGUGGUUUGCAUCAA